RNAcentral lists this ribosomal RNA (253 nucleotides) under uncultured bacterium. Its description in RNAcentral is "partial 16S ribosomal RNA". It matches the Rfam family "Bacterial small subunit ribosomal RNA", at positions 524 to 776 of the family's 1533-position model. The record is from RNAcentral.
UACGUAGGGAGCAAGCGUUGUCCGGAAUCAUUGGGCGUAAAGCGCGCGUAGGUGGCUUCAUAAGUCCGCUGUGAAAGUCAAAGGCUCAACCUUUGAAAGCCGGUGGAUACUGUGAAGCUAGAGUACGGAAGAGGCGAGUGGAAUUCCUGGUGUAGCGGUGGAAUGCGCAGAUAUCAGGAGGAACACCAAUAGUGAAGGCAGCUCGCUGGGACGUUACUGACACUGAGGCGCGAAAGCGUGGGGAGCGAACAGG